This is a long non-coding RNA of Schistocerca cancellata (South American locust), 3492 nucleotides long. RefSeq lists it as uncharacterized. The record is from RefSeq and is a predicted model, not a curated record. The transcript has 4 exons. NCBI's taxonomy places the organism in Eukaryota, Metazoa, Arthropoda, Insecta, Orthoptera, Acrididae.
UAGUCCGUCUACCAUAAGGAUACGACGUGCAAGUGAGUUGUGCAUCCAGUGGCAAUAACAAAGCUCGGGACGAGUGUUCUAAGCAGUUACGUAUUGCGUGUGACGCUUAGCUUGGCAGAAGUUACUGACGCGUACAACUCAAGUUAAUGUGUAAACGUCGAGCGGUAUAACCUUUAACAGCUGCAUCAACUAUUUAUAUUUCCUCAGGUGUUCAGUGAAAAUCAGUUGUUUUACAACGGAAAAUGAGACGUCGUUACAAGUGUUACACACGCCUCUAUGCAUAAUCGCCGAUUAGUUUUCGACGAAGUGGGUCUUUUCCUUCGUGCAAAACGAAGUUGGAUGUGACAGUGCAGUUGGAUACAGAGGUGGUGGAAGCAGUGCAGUUCCUCUUCAGGUUGCAGUCAAAACUUUUAUAAGAAAAUGAGAUUCAUCAGAUGUAAUGAGAAUGCUGUUACAUUAUGCAAAUUAUUUGGUAACCAAUAUAUGAAGCUGGACUGAUGAGAAUCUUUGUAUCAGAGAAGAGCUUGAAAUGCCACUGGCUGAAAAAAUAAAUAAAUAAAUAAGUCUUCACAGAUGAAGAAUGAAUGAAAAACUCUGUUGCUUCUAACAUGCUGUAAGACUGUGGCAUAUCUUUGGUGCAGGGUCAAAGGGGCUCACGUCAAAACUACAAACUUUUUUUUGAGGAAAGCUACAGCAAAGACCACAAUCCACUCUAAAAUCCAAAUAGAAACAGAUGAUGCAAAAGGCGACGGUGAUUUGAAUGAACAUUAGCAUGUGAGCCCUAAGGGGUUCAUGAAUCCUUUUCAAGAUAUUUAUCUGGCUAUCACAAGGUACUGAACUAUUUUCUGUUUUUCAUUCUUCUGCAUUUCAUCUUUCCAUGUUACCUUCUUCUGUCAUUCUGUUCUCUCUCCGUUCAGUAAUAAGUGCACAAGUGCUAAACUUUAUUCAGAAUAAUAUCACUAUAACAUGGAAAAUUUAUUCACAUGUAUUACUGGAAAGUGAAAAGUAAUCUCAAGUUUUCUUAAAUGAAGUUGAAAUUUACAGUUUCAAAAUAGAAAGUACUGAUAGUAACAACAUUUAAUGUGUUUCAUAUUCAUGUUCUUUCUACUUCAAUAGAGAGUAAUAUGUUUGAAUACUGACUGUAUUUAAGGAAUUAUUAUGCUUUAUUAAUGAAUUUGGUCAUAUAUGGGAAAAAUUAUGUUUUAUUUAAAAGAAUGUGGGUAUGCCCUAGAUUAUUUUAUGAAAAUUAGAAUGUUAAGAUUGAUGAAUUGUCAUAGUGUAAACCUAUUGUCAGCAAAUGGACAGUGAUUAUUAUGGAAAAUCUAUUCAUAAAAUUAAUAUUGUUGUGAAUAGAAAACAUCAAACUGGAACUUCAUAUACUUUAAAAACCUUAUUUACUGUCUCCAUUACAUUUUGAAAUGGAUUUUGAUCAGAGGAGGCGAACUGUUUAUCGGUUUACAGGUACAUAGGUAAAUGAAAGUGGAUGUUUAUGAGACCACACCAGUAAUAAAACUUUUACGGGCUGUGUGUCUCAAGCUAUAUAUAAAACGCAUAUUUGCUAAGGCUUUUCGUUGUGCCUAUCUACAACUCAUUAUCUCCACAACAUGGGUAUUAAUGUUUCAAAUGCCUUUGAUAAGAAGUUGAAAAUUGUGUAUGUGUGCUGAACAGUUGUGGACUGAAUAUGAAUGUUUUCAGUUCUGCACAUCCAUAUUCAUUUCACAACCGUUCAUAUUCAUUAGGCCGAACAGUACUUAUUUACAGCAAGGGGUAAGAUAACUUUGAGAUGUUCCGACAGCGAACCUGAUGGAUAUAAGAAAAAUAUAAGAGUUACAAUCAAUAGUUAUGUAAAUGAAAAAAUGUGUUGGUAUAAUGAAAAUUAAUGGAAAUGGUUGACAAUAAACAAUAUUAACUGAAAUCAUGUUGUUGCUGACUAUUAACAAUUCCUGACUUCUCAAAAGUACUAAUGUAGGAAUAGAAUGGGUAUGGGGAAGCAUUUUUGCUGAAUUUGUUCUGUAUGUCUUGUGCAAGCAAACAUAAAUUACAUUUUUCUUUUUGAUUUUUUUCUCUGUUCCAUUAUGUAUAAUAACAACUGAAAAAUUUAAGAAGUGACCAGUGAACCAAGGCAAUCAGUGAGAGCUAAACAACAGAUUCCUUGUUGCCAUAGGUUGCAAAUGAGGGCAUGGCUGUUUUGAAGUGCUCUGAAAUAUGGUUUUGUAGUGCAAGUGUCUUUUAGAUGAAGUAAUUGAAGAUAACUGGACGAACAUGCAUAUUACUGAAAUCAACUUCCUUUACGCAAUUUGGACUAGUUUUUGUGCAUAUGAAAAUCAAAAUUAAAAAAAGAAAUGUGAAGCUAGUAAUUGAGAAGUCAUGUUGUACGAGUAUAUAAGUGUUGCAGAAACGUGUACGUGAAGCUUCCAAUUCAAAUUUCUUUUUAUGUAGAGAUAAAUGUAUUUUUUAUGUAAAGGUAAAUGUAAUUUUUCCUUCUUUAUUUUAUUUGUAUAUGCUUCCUGUGUAUCUAGUAAGCUGCCAUUUUUGGAGUUGAGUGUACAGUUUAGUAAGAUUUCUGUUUUAAGUGACCUUACGUGUGUGCAAAUUUUGCCUGGAGAUAAUAUCUGGCACUGUGUGAAGAUGUCCUGUAUUUUAUCAGAUCAUCCUUUAUUUUAGCUCAAGUGUUCCCUUGUCCAGACAAAAUACACACCAGGGCAUAUACUGUCCUGUUUCUCAUUAACUGUCCCUUAUAUUUUGAAAGGUGCAUUUUCAAGAGAGAUGUAGCAUAACCAAAAGGAGAAUAAACGUGAUCAUACCCAAAGAAUAAAGAAAAUACUCCUGUUGAUUAAACCAAAUUAAACCAGGGAUGAUUUUUGAAAUCCUUUUGUUGGUACUACUUAAAGCUUUCACAUGGCAAGCAGUUCAUCACUUCCACUUUCUUUGUGCAUUGCCUAUUGCUUCAGCUCACCACAUUUAAAAAUGUGGUUUUAAUGGAUUUAAAGAGUCACAUCUAACCUUACUUGAUGUUGCAUAUUGCAAACAUUUCAUAUAAAUGCCAAAAAGAAAGUACAUAUUUACUGACUAAAGCGAAGUUCCCAUUUCUGAAAUUAGAAUAGUAAAGCGAUAACUUAUUUUGCGCACUGUGUAAAAGUACUUCUUGAGUCCACAAUGGGAGUCAAUAUGAUGUUCUGCAAUACAUUAACGUUAAGAAACACAAGUUAGCAGUUUCAAGCAUAGCUUUGUCACAAAGUAUGAUGUCUUUUUGCACAAAACAUGAGAAUAGUGUCACUGCAAAAGAAGAAGAAAAUCGUCUCACUGCUGAGGGAGCUUCAGUAGCUUUCCAUGCAAUGUAAUGAAACAUCAUGUGGCAAGGGCCUCCCGGCGGGUAGACCUGAUCGCCUGGUUCAAGUAUUUUGAGGUGACAUCACUCUUCAGCGACUUGCACAUCGAUGAGGAUGAAAUGGUGAUGAUGGAGAUGACACAAACACUCAGUCCCUGAGUGGA